AAGGGCUUCGUCUCCAACUGAACCCGCGCAGGAGUCGGACGAAGGCGCCAUCGUCGAUCCUCCUGACCCCCGCGCACUUCGAGGAUGGCCGCGGCCUAUAAAGGGACUAGCCCUGUGCAGCGCUCCACCUUCGAAACCCUAUCCGCCCCUAGCUCUAGCGCUCCGAAGCUCCCGCACGCAGCUGCCAUCGCCGCCGCCCCCGGAAAAGGUCGUCCCGCCGCCGUCGAUCUCUUCCCCCUGCAACGUAUCCCUCGGCGAGACCUACACGAUGGCCAUCGCGCGAAGGCUAUGAACCCGCUGCUGGAGGUUUCAAUCUGUUAAGAAGCAAUCCAUAGCCUCAGGAGGUUGACCAAUAUGAUUAGAGGAUCUCAUCCACAAGGAUUAGUGGCUUGUAUUAAUCCUAGUCUUAGAAUCUAAUCCAACGAUCAAAUGUAAAUCUCUCUGUGACACAACCAUAAUUUACAUAAGGCCUACUCCUCCUCUUUUGGAACCGA
This is a long non-coding RNA of Sorghum bicolor (sorghum), 494 nucleotides long. RefSeq lists it as uncharacterized. The record is from RefSeq and is a predicted model, not a curated record. The transcript has 2 exons. NCBI's taxonomy places the organism in Eukaryota, Viridiplantae, Streptophyta, Magnoliopsida, Poales, Poaceae.